Notolabrus celidotus (New Zealand spotty) is the source of this 230-nucleotide long non-coding RNA. RefSeq lists it as uncharacterized. NCBI's taxonomy places the organism in Eukaryota, Metazoa, Chordata, Actinopteri, Labriformes, Labridae. The record is from RefSeq and is a predicted model, not a curated record. The transcript is spliced from 3 exons.
CCCACCGCAGGAGAAAACAGCCACAGAGGAGGGCAUUGCAGAUCAAAGUGUGGAGCUAGCAUGUCAUCCAGCAAGACCCGAAGCCGACUACACACCAGCAGCUGAGUGCCAAGAGGCCACACAAAAAAGGAAACAGUGUUCUCCCUUUCUCAGUACGUGUAACCUUUCAGAAAGCAAGAUAUCAUCUUACUCUUCAGGUUGUAUCCCUCAGGAAUAAACGUGAUUUUGGU